UUCCUGCCGAAUCGGAGAAGCGGGCAGCGAUGGAAACGCGGGCGCGGGACGGACCCACGUCCAGUCAGCCGAGGCCCCAGAGCCGGCCUGGGGGCUGAGGACCGACUGACGAGCGCUCAGUCAGGCGCCUGUUUAACCCAAACUCAGAAAAGGCACAGUCAGGAGCGCGGGAGUGUGAGAGAAUCCACCAGAGCCAGAGCUGGGAGCAGAGCAGGCAGA
Talpa occidentalis (Iberian mole) is the source of this 219-nucleotide long non-coding RNA. RefSeq lists it as uncharacterized. The transcript is spliced from 3 exons. The record is from RefSeq and is a predicted model, not a curated record. Lineage: Eukaryota; Metazoa; Chordata; Mammalia; Eulipotyphla; Talpidae.